Molecule: long non-coding RNA, 1147 nt
Organism: Ornithorhynchus anatinus (platypus)
Lineage: Eukaryota; Metazoa; Chordata; Mammalia; Monotremata; Ornithorhynchidae
Exons: 3
Source: RefSeq, a predicted model, not a curated record
GCCCGUGGCCUCGGAGGGGAAAUGCCGGCCGGUCGAGGGGUUGUCCAUGUGGGAGACCUGACCUCGCCAGCAGGUUUGCCCUCUGGAGGUGGCAGGGUAGCCUCCAGACCCGUCUGCCUACUGUUUAAGCCUGGGAACUCAGACUAAAAAACAAAUCAAAACCUCAAGCAAGAAGCGAAGCAGUGUGUUUUCUAAGAAGCCAGAAGAAUCCAAAACAUUUUGGUGGGGGUAGGGAACAGGGUGAUGCUUUGUGGCGGCUUCGGGGGAAGGGAAGGGUGCUUCUUUUGCCUUUUUGGAAACGUAGAGAGUAAUCGCCUCUGCAACUUAUUCUUCCCCUCUCCUGAAGUUCUUCGACCGAGGAACGGGCUAGGUUCGUCUUCCUCGGGAAUUCUAGCAUCCUACCUGGAAGCUUAACUUUCGGUCCUGCAAUCACAAGGGAAGAGCUGAAUCAGCAAAUAGAAUGCAGGAAAGCUCGGGACGAGAUGGCUGCUGCUGCUGCUUCUGAGGUGUCUCCAGGUCAUUUACCUCUCCUCCAACUGCGAAGGCUCCACGGUGCUAAGCUUACAGCACUUAAAUCCAGGCCACAUGAUGCCCCCCGAGUUUCUGCCGGAUUCACGGUGUAAAGAAUACGUUUACGUCCUGCCAACGGUAUCCUAUGCUAGUAUCAACGAAUACAGAUUACGCUCACGCAAUGACGUGAACUAGGGUUGAUCCUGAAGGUCUGUAUUUUAUUCCUUUUACUACUUCUUCAACGUUUUGUCGCUGACUACGAAUGGACUGGAGAGGAUAAAAUAUUCCCUGCUUUGGCACUUUGGGGUACCUGUAGGUUUUCCUCACCAAUUGUGUCAUUUCAUUGUUCAUUAACCACAGCGAGAGGAUAUUAAGUUAUCUGUGCCACACCUGACGUUAGUAGUAUGAAAUGACUGAAAAAACAAAUUCAGUUCUUAUUAAGAGGUGACUUUAAGCGGGGUUACACAUUAGAUGGAAAAAGAAUAAUAUGCUAGCAUAUGGAAAUUCCUCUCUAGGGUUCAGGUCAUACCUUUUUUUCUGCAUGGUGUUUGUCAAGGGCUAUGCGCUAGGCACCGUACUAAGUGCUGGGGCAGAUGCAAGAUAAUCAGCAUGGAUACAGUCCCUUUUCCUACGUAGG